CCUACGGGGAGCAGCAGUGAGGAAUAUUGGUCAAUGGGCUUACGCCUGAACCAGCCAAGUCGCGUGAGGGAAGACUGCCCUAUGGGUUGUAAACCUCUUUUGUCAGGGAGCAACGCCGGCUACGUGUAGCCGGACUGAGAGUACCUGAAGAAAAAGCAUCGGCUAACUCCGUGCCAGCAGCCGCGGUAAUACGGAGGAUGCGAGCGUUAUCCGGAUUUAUUGGGUUUAAAGGGUGCGUAGGCGGAAUGCCAAGUCAGCGGUAAAAUCGCGGGGCUCAACCUCGCUCCGCCGUUGAAACUGGCGGUCUUGAGUGGGCGAGAGGUAUGCGGAAUGUGUGGUGUAGCGGUGAAAUGCAUAGAUAUCACGCAGAACUCCGAUUGCGAAGGCAGCAUACCGGCGCCCAACUGACGCUGAAGCACGAAAGCGUGGGUAUCGAACAGGAUUAGAUACCCUAGUAGUC
RNAcentral lists this ribosomal RNA (460 nucleotides) under uncultured bacterium. RNAcentral's name for it is "partial 16S ribosomal RNA". It matches the Rfam family "Bacterial small subunit ribosomal RNA", at positions 338 to 795 of the family's 1533-position model. The record is from RNAcentral.